This 590-nucleotide ribosomal RNA is filed under the name uncultured bacterium. RNAcentral's name for it is "bacterial SSU rRNA". It matches the Rfam family "Bacterial small subunit ribosomal RNA", at positions 103 to 707 of the family's 1533-position model. The record is from RNAcentral.
CGGGUGAGUAACACGUAAGUAAUCUGCCCUCGAGUGGGGAAUACCAUCGGGAAACCGAUGCUAAUACCGCAUAACGCAGCGGCACCCCAAGGUGACAGUUGUUAAAGAAGCAAUUCGCUUGAGGAGGAGCUUGCGGCAGAUUAGCUAGUUGGUAAGGUAAUGGCUUACCAAGGCUACGAUCUGUAUCCGGUCUAAGAGGACGGUCGGACACACUGACACUGAAUAACGGGUCAGACUCCUACGGGAGGCAGCAGUCGGGAAUUUUGGGCAAUGGGGGAAACCCUGACCCAGCAACGCCGCGUGAAGGAUGAAGCCCCUCGGGGCGUAAACUUCGAAAGAAUGGGAAGAAAACAAUGACGGUACCAUUUAUAAGCUCCGGCUAACUACGUGCCAGCAGCCGCGGUAAUACGUAGGGAGCAAGCGUUGUUCGGAUUUACUGGGCGUAAAGGGCGCGUAGGCGGCAUAUUAAGUCGGCUGUGAAAUCUCCGGGCUUAACUCGGAACUGUCAGCUGAAACUGAUGUGCUGGAGUGCAGAAGGGGCAAUCGGAAUUCUCGGUGUAGCGGUGAAAUGCGUAGAUAUCGAGAGGAAC